GUAGUGAAAUGGUUACAUAACCAUUUGAAAAUUAUAACUAAAACCUCGAAUUUAAAAUCCCUCGGCCUUUAGGCUGUGCGGGUUCAAGUCCCGCCCUGGGCACCA
RNAcentral lists this transfer RNA (105 nucleotides) under Providencia stuartii. Its description in RNAcentral is "tRNA-OTHER". The record is from RNAcentral. Lineage: Bacteria; Pseudomonadati; Pseudomonadota; Gammaproteobacteria; Enterobacterales; Morganellaceae.